AACGCACAUUGCGCCCUUCGGUUAUUCCUUAGGGCAUGCCUGUUCGAGCGUCAUUUCAACCUUCAAGCUCAGCUUGGUGUUGGGCGCUGUCCCGCCUCUUGCGCGCGGACUCGCCCCAAAUUGAUUGGCAGUCGCAUCCACCGAGCCGCGAGCGCAGCACAAGUCGCGCGAGCCGGCGAGGCGGCAAGGACGCUCCACAAGACCCUUUUUUACAAGUCUUGACCUCGGAUCAGGUAGGGAUACCCGCUGAACUUAA
This 256-nucleotide unclassified non-coding RNA is filed under the name uncultured Torula. RNAcentral's name for it is "sequence contains ITS2". Lineage: Eukaryota; Fungi; Ascomycota. The record is from RNAcentral.